CAAGUACUCCUUCCGUCCGGAAUUACUUGUCAUCAAAAUGGAUGUGUCUAGAACUAAAAUGCUUCUAGAUACAUCCAUUUCAAUGACAAGUAUUUUCGGACUGAGGGAGUACAAG
Triticum aestivum (bread wheat) is the source of this 115-nucleotide non-coding RNA. NCBI's taxonomy places the organism in Eukaryota, Viridiplantae, Streptophyta, Magnoliopsida, Poales, Poaceae. The record is from Rfam.